This 380-nucleotide long non-coding RNA is filed under the name Hordeum vulgare. Its description in RNAcentral is "long non-coding RNA (HVUL_LNC015943)". The record is from RNAcentral. Lineage: Eukaryota; Viridiplantae; Streptophyta; Magnoliopsida; Poales; Poaceae.
GGAGGGCUCGAGAUGGGCUUGUAGGGCCGUAGCGGUUGGAGAAGAGAGGAGGUUGUGGGUGGCUUCCCUUAUUUUGAACCGACGGCUAGGGUGUGUUGAUCUCGCGAGGAAGUACCUUAUAGCGAUGUACGAGGGUUUCAUCCUUUUUGAGUCGUCCGAUUUUGAUCGGACGGCUUUGUUUUUUCUACAUAGGUGGGCUUAGUGUGCUCUGUGGAGGGGGUGAAAUUUGAUGAGAGGGAGGUGUGUGGCCCGACAACAGAGUUUUAAAACCAAAAACUUCCGACGAAUAAAUUCGCUAUAGUGCCGCGAUAGGUUUAAUGGUUCGAGUAUCAAAUGGAGUCCGAUUGCGAGGAAAUUUGGCAAUUGGUUUACCUACACUA